GUGUAGGGAAGCGCUGGUGGCCUAGCGGUAAGAGCGUGCGACUUUCAAUCCGGAGGUCGCGGGUUCAAACCCCGGCUCGUACCAAUGAUUUUUCGGAACUUAUGUACGAAAUAUCAUUUGAUAUUUACCAGUCGCUUUUCAGUGAAGGAAAACAUCGUGAGAAAACCGGACUAAUCCCAAUAAGGCCUAGUUUCCCCCCUGGGUUGGAAGGUCAGAUGGCAGUCGCUUUCGUAAAAACUAGUGCCUACGUCAAUUCUUGGGAUUAGUUGUCAAGCGGACCCCAGGCUCCCAUGAGCCGUGGCAAAAUGCCGGGAUAACGCGAGGAAGAAUCUAAGAGGUCAAGUACGCGAACCUUGAACAGGUGUACGAUUUUGUCCCGGUUGCCGUCGAGACGGCGGGGCCUUGGUGUGCCGAGGCCAAAGCCUUUAUUAAGGAUAUAGGGCGACGCUUAAGGGAUAGGGGCUGCGACCCUCGGUCUGGUUCUUUCCUUAUCCAACAAAUAUCACUGGCCAUUCAGCGGGGUAAUGCCGCCAGUAUUUUUGGCACAUUUGAUCCGGGAGACAAUCAGAGUGGGGGGCAAUAUUUUAUUUGUUAAGUUCGUUUUACUCAUUCUUAGGUUUAUUUUAGUUUAUAAUUUGUAUG
Long non-coding RNA from Cydia splendana, 642 nucleotides. RefSeq lists it as uncharacterized. The record is from RefSeq and is a predicted model, not a curated record. NCBI's taxonomy places the organism in Eukaryota, Metazoa, Arthropoda, Insecta, Lepidoptera, Tortricidae. The transcript has 3 exons.